GAGUUUGAUCGUGGCUCAGAGUGAACGCUGGCGGUAGGCCUAACACAUGCAAGUCGAACGGCAGCACAGUAAGAGCUUGCUCUUAUGGGUGGCGAGUGGCGGACGGGUGAGGAAUACAUCGGAAUCUACUUUUUCGUGGGGAUAACGUAGGGAAACUUACGCUAAUACCGCAUACGACCUACGGGUGAAAGCAGGGGAUCUUCGGACCUUGCGCGAUUGAAUGAGCCGAUGUCGGAUUAGCUAG
RNAcentral lists this ribosomal RNA (244 nucleotides) under uncultured microorganism. RNAcentral describes it as "partial 16S ribosomal RNA". It matches the Rfam family "Bacterial small subunit ribosomal RNA", at positions 9 to 248 of the family's 1533-position model. The record is from RNAcentral.